CGAUGGACAGGUCCUAUGGAGGAGGCAACAGAGACUCUGCUCUCCUCGUUUGGAUUAAUUCUGAUAUAAUAACUGUUGGUUUAUUUAUCGGUGGAACAUUUUCCACAGACAGUUUUCCUGCCCGUUGGCUUGUUUUAACCAGUUUUCUGCCUUCAGCUGAUUCUACCAGCAGACACUGAAAGGACUCUGAUAGUUUGAGUGAAAGUAGCAGUUCCUCCUUAAGGUCAGAGAUUGCAGCAUCUGAGGGCCUCUUCAAAAGAAGACGUAUUUGAUGAAGGUGUUCUGGAGCAGGACCAGAAAGACCACGACCAAGCAGCCUUGAGAUCUUAGACAGCAUCUCCCUCAGGUGGAUGUCAACGGUGUUCACAGUCAGGUCCCUCUCUAUCUCCCCACACAUCCACCAACCACUGGAACACAUCUCCAAAGUUCUGCCGGGCCAGCUCAGCUUCCCCUCAGAAGAAGUUCCACCACCUGCCAGAUGAAGGAGCCUUUUGAGAGGCAGCUGGCAUCGUGAUUGGACUGUACUUUGGUCUGUUCCAAUCCAGCUUCAGCUCCAGAGACGGCAGGCGGGACGAGUCAACGGAGGCCUGGUGGACGAAGGCAUGCAGCUGAGUACAAUCCAGAAAACAACAGAGGAGGAGUGCAGGGCCAGAAUAAAC
Long non-coding RNA from Amphiprion ocellaris (clown anemonefish), 659 nucleotides. The record is from Ensembl. Lineage: Eukaryota; Metazoa; Chordata; Actinopteri; Pomacentridae.